Oncorhynchus tshawytscha (Chinook salmon) is the source of this 4389-nucleotide long non-coding RNA. Lineage: Eukaryota; Metazoa; Chordata; Actinopteri; Salmoniformes; Salmonidae. The record is from Ensembl.
AGAUCCAUGUGAGUAGAUGCACUGUGGACCUCACAGGCUGUGUGUAAAGAAGGACGGAAAGCCUGUCUUUGCUUCAGAGUCUAACAUCUGCUCUGUAUAAGGGAUUCUUACUACCGCACCUUCGUCGGUAGUAACACUUUGCCGUGAUUGUGGCUAGUAUAUGUCCAUACUGUCUUGCUUUUGCAGAUCAAUAGUCAGCAGAGGAACCUGCCCCUAGCCCUGGCCGCCGGCUCUCUGCCUUUAAACCCUAGCAGCUCCAGCGUUGUCUUGGAAACAGACUUUGGCCUGAUGCUGCGGUAUGACUGGCAUCACAACCUUGAAUUGGAAGUGGCACCGGAGCUGUCUGGUUCACUGUGUGUUCUCUGUGGAAACUACAGCCACAAUGCAACUAAUGACUUUGCCACCCCUGAUGGAACUGUGGCGGCUGUGGACUUCGCGCUUCGCUGGAAAGUGGACUGCGGCGCCUCAUGUCCUGUGUGCAGUACAGGCCAAGUGAACUCUAAACCUACAUUGGGUUCGGUUUCAGGCUGCUGCAGAGCCACGUCCAUGUUGUUCCUGAACAGGACGUCUGCAGCUGCAAGGCUGACCAAUGUGCUGCUGAUGGAGCUCCUUCUGCUGUCUGUAGGUCGAUGCAGGUAUACUCUGACAUAUGUCAGAGGCCGGCUACCUCCCAGUGAAAGGACGGCUAUCUGCUCAGUGGCAGCCAUUGUGUCCCAGACAGCAGGUGUGGCUGCAGCCAUCAAGGUCUCUACUACCUCCCCAAGGAGAUGUUCUGGAUGGACCGCCAGUGUCGGAAGCAGUGCACCUGCCAGCCUUCCUCCAAGAAUGUCACCUGUGUCCAGGCCCAGUGUCAGGAGGACAAGGUGUGCAAGAUUCUGGCUGGGCUGCCAUAAGGAAGGGCUUAGGGUGUGCACAGCUCAAGGGGAUCGGCAUUACACCAUUUUUGACGGGAACAGGUGUGUCUUCCAAGGCACCUGUGCGUACCAGCUGGUGAGGCACUUCCCUAGCUCGGGAGACCUGCCUGGUUUCAGUGUGGUGACACAGAACAUGAGGAGGACGACACCAACACUUCUUAUUCCAGAAGGGUCAAUAUUUUGAUUCAUGGUUACUCUAUUGAGAUCUCUCAUUACUGGGAUGAAGUAGUUGUGGUCAAUGGGAUUAUUUUGAGCCUUCCCUCAGUGUUGAGCCAAGGUAAAGUGAAGAGCUCUCCACGUGUAUUGAGACUGUCUUUGGUGUCCUGGUCACAUACAACUGGAACCUCCUGACUGUCCAAGUGCCCAGGGUCUUCUCUGGCUCACUCUAUGGCCUGUGUGGGAACUUCAACGCGGACCCAGAGGACUAUCUAACAGACGACGGGGACAUCUAUGGCUGUGAGGCGCUGGAAAACUAGUAACGUUGUUGAAUGUGUGGAUGUGACGACAAUGAACAAUCCCCAAUGCCCCAUCAGGAACAGGCUCUCUAUUUAGGCAGGGACUACUGAGGGAGUGUUCCAGAACUGCCACGGGAUGGUCAACCCCAAACGCUGCCUUUGACAACUGUCUACGACCUCUGCUACAACAAUGACAAGCAGAAUGCCCUGUGUCAGAUUCUCUCAAGUUACACCGCUGCUUGCCAGGAGGAAGGGGCAAACAUAGAUGAAUGGAGGCUUCAGAUUAUUGUGGUCUGUCCUGUCCAGCCAACAUUGAAUACAACCUGUGCUCCAUCCCUGUGCCCAACAAUUGUGUGGCGUCUCGUGUAAACCUGGGUUCUUCCAUAGUGGUGUGUCCCCAACACUGAGUGCGGCUGCCUCUGACGGUUUGUGCCACAAGAUCAAGGCAGUGUUUUACGCCCAUGAUCAUUGCCAGGUUGCUUCUCUUGUCGGUCAUGGCUAGCUACCAUGCACUGACACCACCUGUUCCAGUGGAACAGAGUGUAGGAUCCAAAAUGGACCCUGUGACUGCUAUCCAGCGCCAGUUUCAGGGAAGUGCAAAGUGGUGGGAGGCAGGCACUUGGACCUAUGAUGGGCAUAGCUUUGAUCUCCAUAUGGGCAUAUCAAGAAGCCCCCAUUUCCUAAACCAGACAUAUGCCAAGAAUGGAGCAGAUACAUUUUCAUAUAUACAGCAAGGGCAGCUACACCUGAGGUACAAGGGACUGAAUGACUGUGGAACUGCAGCAGAGGGGGAUGGUUGAGGUGUGUUUUAUAGUAGCGGCCUUUAUCCUAAUGAUAGUAUUCGUCUUGAGCUAUAAUAAAUCUGUUUAAAUGUUGAUGUGAUGUUUCAGGUCUGACCUUUGUCUCAAGGUGAAAAGGGCUUCCUGGAACCUUCCGGUCCACCAGGAGAGUAACAUUGCUAUGCUUUCUGGUCUGACAACACAGGUGGAAAUGGACAAUGGGGCAGUGAUCACGUACAGUGGACCUGACUUCAUACAGCUGUUAUCUCCUCCUGCCUACGCUGGUAAGGCAUGUGGGUGGUGUUGAAACUUCAACAGCACUGCUACAGAUGACACUCAGAUGGUCCGUGACGUUUUCCUGUCUGGGGUCAUCUGCCCAGAGUGUAACUGGACCUUGGCGGCUGAGUUCAAGUUGGAGCAUUUCUGUGGAGUCCUCUCAGCUCCUGCUGGCCUAUUCAGAGACUGCCACGCCACGGUAGACCCACAACCUUUCUUGGACAACUGUGUAAAGGCCCCUGUGUGUGUCUUGAAGGGAUAUGGCAAAGUACUGUGGCAGCCUGAAGGAUUAUUGGGGCGGCAGGGUAGCCUAGUGUUUAGAGCGUUGGACUAGUAACCGAAAGGUUGCAAGUUUGAAUCCCCGAGCUGACUAGGUACAAAUCUGUCGUUCUGCUCCUGAACAGGCAGUUAACCCACUGUUACUAGGCCGUCAUUGAAAAUAAGAAUUUGUUCUUAACUGACUUGCCUAGUUAAAUAAAGGUAGAAAAAAAAUCUAUGUUUGUAUUUUAUGAAGCCGCAGCCAAGGUCUAGCCAUGGAGGGGAGACGAAUGCUGUAAGUGGAUGAUGCAAGAUCCUUUCUGGCUUAAAACUGAAUUCAACAUGUAUUAUGUUUACAAAGACAAAAUGUCUUUCCCCUCCAUACAGCCAUGUCAUGCCCAGUGAACUCUCACUACAAGGUGUGUACCAAUGCCUGCCCUGAAACCUGUGCCAAUACUUCUGGUUUGGUCACCAGUCCUUCGACUUGUGUGGAUGGGUGCCAGUGUGAGGCUGGGUAAUGUGCUCAGUCAUGAUCACUGUGUCAAGCCUGUGCAGGGUGGCUGAUUCCAGACUGGAUGCUAUUAUGAGGUGUGUGUGUGGAACUGGCAGAAGCAACGGUUUAAUGGUUCAGUCAGACUGGCUUUUGUAUUGUACUCCCAAAUUACUCUAUGUGUAGCUGGUUUGUUUCCAAUCCCAAACUAUACUGAACAAAAAUAUAAACGCAACAUACAAGAAUGUCAAAGAUUUUACUGAGUUACAGUUAAAUUGAAAUAAAAUGAAAUAGGCCCUAAUCUAUGAAUUUCACAUGACUGGGAAGGGGGGUAGCCAUGAGUGAGCCAUAGGCCCACCCACUUGGGAGCCAGGCCCAGCUAAUCAGAAUUAGCUUUUCCUCACAAAAGUGCUUUAUUACAGAAAGAAAUUCUCCUCAGUUUAAUCAGCUGUCUGGGUGUCUAGUCUCAGAUGGAUGUGGAGGUCCUGGGCUGGCAUGGUUACAUGUGGUCUGAGAUUGUGAGGCCGGUUGGACGUACUGACACAUUUUCUGAAAUGAAGUUGGAGGCAGCUUAUGGUAGAGAAAUUAACAUCACAUUCUCUGGCAACAGCUCUGGUGGACAUUCCUGCAAUCAGCAUGCCAAUUCCAUGCUCCCUCUACAAACAUCUGUGGCAUUGUGUUGUGACAAAACUGCAUGUUUUAGUGGCCUUUUAUUGUCCCCAGCACAAGGUGAACCUGUUUCAUGCUGUUUAAUCAGCUUCUUAAUGUGCCACACCUGUCAGGUGGAUGGCUUAUCUUGGCAAAGAAGAACUGCUCACUAACAGGGAUGUAAACACAUGUUUUCACAAUCUGAGAGAAACAAGCUUUUUGUGCAUAUAGAACAUUUCUGGGAUCUUUUUUUCAGCUCAUGAAACAUGGGACCAACACUUUACAUGUUGCGUUUAUAUUUCUGUCCAAUAUGUAUUUUCUGGGUUGUAGUCAUUGGUGCAUUUCCAAACCUUUCCAAAAUGACCAGAUCAUUUGACUGUUUUAUCAUGUUCCAAGACUAGAGGUUUGAUUACUCUGAGAGUGUAGUCAGUAAUGACACAUUGUCACAUUUAUUAUGACACAUUAUUUAUCAUCAAUUCCCAAACCUGAAUUUAUGCAGCUGUAAUCCCUGACAUGUUGCCACAACUACACCACAGAUCAAAAUGUGCCGUGCUUCAUUUAGACCAGGC